AGUGAACGCUGGCGGUAGGCCUAACACAUGCCAGUCGAACGGCAGCACAGUAAGAGCUUGCUCUUACGGGUGGCGAGUGGCGGACGGGUGAGGAAUACAUCGGAAUCUACUUUUUCGUGGGGGAUAACGUAGGGAAACUUACGCUAAUACCGCAUACGACCUACGGGUGAAAGCAGGGGAUCUUCGGACCUUGCGCGAUUGAAUGAGCCGAUGUCGGAUUAGCUAGUUGGCGGGGUAAAGGCCCACCAAGGCGACGAUCCGUAGCUGGUCUGAGAGGAUGAUCAGCCACACUGGAACUGAGACACGGUCCAGACUCCUACGGGAGGCAGCAGUGGGGAAUAUUGGACAAUGGGCGCAAGCCUGAUCCAGCCAUACCGCGUGGGUGAAGAAGGCCUUCGGGUUGGAAAGCCCUUUUGUUGGGAAAGAAAAGCAGCAGGUUAAUACCCCGCUGUUCUGACGGUACCCAAAGAAUAAGCACCGGCUAACUUCG
Molecule: ribosomal RNA, 490 nt
Filed under: uncultured bacterium
Lineage: Bacteria
Description: partial 16S ribosomal RNA
Rfam family: Bacterial small subunit ribosomal RNA
Source: RNAcentral